RNAcentral lists this ribosomal RNA (415 nucleotides) under uncultured microorganism. RNAcentral's name for it is "bacterial SSU rRNA". It matches the Rfam family "Bacterial small subunit ribosomal RNA", at positions 9 to 420 of the family's 1533-position model. The record is from RNAcentral.
GAGUUUGAUCGUGGCUCAGAUUGAACGCUGGCGGCAUGCCUUACACAUGCAAGUCGAACGGCAGCAUGAUCUAGCUUGCUAGAUUGAUGGCGAGUGGCGAACGGGUGAGUAAUACAUCGGAACGUGCCCUGUAGUGGGGGAUAACUAGUCGAAAGAUUAGCUAAUACCGCAUACGACCUGAGGGUGAAAGUGGGGGACCGCAAGGCCUCAUGCUAUAGGAGCGGCCGAUGUCUGAUUAGCUAGUUGGUGGGGUAAAGGCCCACCAAGGCGACGAUCAGUAGCUGGUCUGAGAGGACGAUCAGCCACACUGGGACUGAGACACGGCCCAGACUCCCACGGGAGGCAGCAGUGGGGAAUUUUGGACAAUGGGCGAAAGCCUGAUCCAGCAAUGCCGCGUGUGUGAAGAAGGCCUCGG